This 566-nucleotide ribosomal RNA is filed under the name Escherichia coli. RNAcentral's name for it is "partial 23S ribosomal RNA". It matches the Rfam family "Bacterial large subunit ribosomal RNA", at positions 1291 to 1842 of the family's 2925-position model. Lineage: Bacteria; Pseudomonadati; Pseudomonadota; Gammaproteobacteria; Enterobacterales; Enterobacteriaceae. The record is from RNAcentral.
CGAAUGCUGACAUAAGUAACGAUAAAGCGGGUGAAAAGCCCGCUCGCCGGAAGACCAAGGGUUCCUGUCCAACGUUAAUCGGGGCAGGGUGAGUCGACCCCUAAGGCGAGGCCGAAAGGCGUAGUCGAUGGGAAACAGGUUAAUAUUCCUGUACUUGGUGUUACUGCGAAGGGGGGACGGAGAAGGCUAUGUUGGCCGGGCGACGGUUGUCCCGGUUUAAGCGUGUAGGCUGGUUUUCCAGGCAAAUCCGGAAAAUCAAGGCUGAGGCGUGAUGACGAGGCACUACGGUGCUGAAGCAACAAAUGCCCUGCUUCCAGGAAAAGCCUCUAAGCAUCAGGUAACAUCAAAUCGUACCCCAAACCGACACAGGUGGUCAGGUAGAGAAUACCAAGGCGCUUGAGAGAACUCGGGUGAAGGAACUAGGCAAAAUGGUGCCGUAACUUCGGGAGAAGGCACGCUGAUAUGUAGGUGAAGUCCCUCGCGGAUGGAGCUGAAAUCAGUCGAAGAUACCAGCUGGCUGCAACUGUUUAUUAAAAACACAGCACUGUGCAAACACGAAAGUGGAC